Molecule: ribosomal RNA, 492 nt
Filed under: uncultured bacterium
Lineage: Bacteria
Description: partial 16S ribosomal RNA
Rfam family: Bacterial small subunit ribosomal RNA
Source: RNAcentral
AGUGAACGCUGGCGGUAGGCCUAACACAUGCAAGUCGAACGGCAGCACAGUAAGAGCUUGCUCUUACGGGUGGCGAGUGGCGGACGGGUGAGGAAUACAUCGGAAUCUACUUUUUCGUGGGGGAUAACGUAGGGAAACUUACGCUAAUACCGCAUACGACCUACGGGUGAAAGCAGGGGAUCUUCGGACCUUGCGCGAUUGAAUGAGCCGAUGUCGGAUUAGCUAGUUGGCGGGGUAAAGGCCCACCAAGGCGACGAUCCGUAGCUGGUCCGAGAGGAUGAUCAGCCACGCUGGAACUGAGACACGGUCCAGACUCCUACGGGAGGCAGCAGUGGGGAAUAUUGGACAAUGGGCGCAAGCCUGAUCCAGCCAUACCGCGUGGGUGAAGAAGGCCUUCGGGUUGUAAAGCCCUUUUGUUGGGAAAGAAAAGCAGCAGGUUAAUACCCCGCUGUUCUGACGGUACCCAAAGAAUAAGCACCGGCUAACUUCGUG